Molecule: ribosomal RNA, 485 nt
Filed under: uncultured bacterium
Lineage: Bacteria
Description: partial 16S ribosomal RNA
Source: RNAcentral
GUAGUUAGCCGGGGCUUCCUCCUUGGCUACCGUCACUUUCUUCGUCACCAAGGACAGAGGUUUACAACCCGAAAGCCUUCUUCCCUCACGCGGCGUUGCUGGGUCAGGCUUGCGCCCAUUGCCCAAUAUUCCCCACUGCUGCCUCCCGUAGGAGUCUGGACCGUGUCUCAGUUCCAGUGUGGCCGAUCAGCCUCUCAGCUCGGCUACCCAUCGUUGGCUAGGUGGGCCGUUACCCCGCUACUACCUAAUGGGACGCGAACCCCUCCUUUAGCGGAUUUCUCCUUUGACCUCUGUGUCAUGCGGCACUGUGGUCUUAUGCGGUAUUAGCACUUGUUUCCAGGUGUUAUCCCCCUCAAAAGGGCAGGUUGUUCACGCGUUACUCACCCGUUCGCCACUAGCUAUAAAUCCGAAAACCUAUAGCCCGUUCGACUUGCAUGUGUUAGGCACGCCGCCAGCGUUCGUCCUGAACCAAGAUCAAAUUCUGA